ACGGGGGGUGCAAGCGUUGUUCGGAAUUAUUGGGCGUAAAGAGCGUGUAGGCGGUUGGACAAGUCAGAUGUGAAAGCCCUGGGCUUAACUCAGGAAGUGCAUUUGAAACUGUUCAGCUGGAGUAAGGGAGAGGAAAGUGGAAUUCCUGGUGUAGAGGUUAAAUUCGUAGAUAUCAGGAGGAACACCGGUGGCGAAGGCUACUUUCUGGCCCUAUACUGACGCUGAGACGCGAGAGCGUGGGUAGCAAACAG
This 251-nucleotide ribosomal RNA is filed under the name uncultured prokaryote. RNAcentral's name for it is "partial 16S rRNA". It matches the Rfam family "Bacterial small subunit ribosomal RNA", at positions 525 to 775 of the family's 1533-position model. The record is from RNAcentral.